Waddlia chondrophila is the source of this 84-nucleotide transfer RNA. It matches the Rfam family "tRNA". From Rfam's summary of the family: Transfer RNA (tRNA) molecules are approximately 80 nucleotides in length. Their secondary structure includes four short double-helical elements and three loops (D, anti-codon, and T loops). The record is from Rfam. NCBI's taxonomy places the organism in Bacteria, Pseudomonadati, Chlamydiota, Chlamydiia, Parachlamydiales, Waddliaceae.
GCUCGGAUGGUGGAAUAGGUAGACACUAGGGACUUAAAAUCCCUUGCUCUUUUGAGCGUGUGGGUUCGAGUCCCACUCCGAGCA